Long non-coding RNA from Coregonus clupeaformis (lake whitefish), 329 nucleotides. RefSeq lists it as uncharacterized. The record is from RefSeq and is a predicted model, not a curated record. The transcript is spliced from 3 exons. Lineage: Eukaryota; Metazoa; Chordata; Actinopteri; Salmoniformes; Salmonidae.
AAGCCAGCAGGACACAAUACAUGGAGAGAUGACCAACCCAUAGCUAUAGAUGAGGGGAGUGGAACCUCAACCCAGAAUGUUAUCGUGAUAGAGUCUGCAGAUGCAGAGGCUGCAGGUCCUGGAGGAUCGUCUCUGGUCAAGCAGAAGAGGUCUGAAGGAGAGGAGGACCCACAACACAACAGAGACAUCCAGACUGGAGCAGCAGCUGGAGUGGCGCCCCCUGUAGCCACGGAGGACCUCGCCACCAAUACAGCGCCCCAGCCCAGGACCCAACACAGCAUCACGGAGGAGGAGGAGGCUCCAGAGGUGCUGCUGGUGAAGGAGGAGGG